CAAGUUGAGAGUUUGAUCCUGGCUCAGAACUAACAUUGGCGGCAGGCCUAACACAUGCAAGUCGAGCGAGGCUUCGAGCCGAGCGGCGAACGGGUGCGUACAACUUGGGAAUCUACCUUGAAGUGGGGGAUAACAACUGGAAACAGUUGCUAAUACCGCAUACUCCAUAUUGGGAAAGCGUUGCAGCGCUUCAAGAUGAGCCCAAGCCUGAUUAGCUAGUUGGUGGGGUAAAAGCCUACCAAGGCUACGAUCAGUAGCUGGUCUCAGAGGAUGAUCAGCCACACUGGAACUGAGACACGGUCCAGACUCCUACGGGAGGCAGCAGUGGGGAAUCUUGCACAAUGGGGGCAACCCUGAUGCAGCCAUGCCGCGUGCGCGAUGACGGUCUUCGGAUUGUAAAGCGCUUUAGAUGGGGACGACGAUGACGGUACCCAUAGAAUAAGUCACGGCUAACUUCGUGCCAGCAGCCGCGGUAAUACGAAGGUGGCGAAUGUUGUUCGGAUUUACUGGGCGUAAAGCGUCCGCAGGUGGUUUGUUAAGUCAGGUGUGAAAGCCCCGCGCUCAACGUGGGAAUUGCACUUGAAACUGGCUGACUAGAAGGCGAGAGAGGUAGGCGGAAUUACCGGUGUAGAAGUGAAAUUCGUAGAUAUCGGUAGGAACACCCAUGGCGAAGGCAGCUUACUGGCUCGCUCUUGACACUCAUGGACGAAAGCGUGGGGAGCAAACAGGAUUAGAUACCCUGGUAGUCCACGCCCUAAACGAUGCAUGCUCGCUGUCAGGCUCGCUACAGAGCUUGGUGGCCCAGCUAACGCGGUAAGCAUGCCGCCUGGGGAGUACGGCCGCAAGGUUAAAACUCAAAGGAAUUGACGGGGACCCGCACAAGUGGUGGAGCAUGUCGUUUAAUUCGAUGCUACGCGCAGAACCUUACCUAGGCUUGACAUACCGGUCGUACCCUCCGUAACGGGAGGGGUCAUUUAGUUGGACCGUGUACAGGUGUUGCAUGGCUGUCGUCAGCUCGUGUCGUGAGAUGUUGGGUUAAGUCCCGCAACGAGCGCAACCCUCGCCUUUAAUUGCCAGCAUUCAGUUGGGCACUUUAGAGGAACCGCCGAGGAUAACUCGGAGGAAGGUGGGGAUGACGUCAAGUCCUCAUGGCCCUUACGCCUAGGGCUACAGACGUGCUACAAUGCCGACCACAACGGGAUGCCAAAGCGCAAGCUGGAGCAAAUCCUAAAAAGUCGGCUCAGUUCGGAUUGUCGUCUGCAACUCGACGGCAUGAAGCUGGAAUCACUAGUAAUCGCGGAUCAGCAUUGCCGCGGUGAAUACAGUUCCCGGGUCUUGUACACACCGCCUGUCAAGCCAUGGAAAUUGGGGACACCUUAAGCCGGUGCGCUAACCCGCAAGGGAGGCAGCCGUCCACGGUGCAACCAGUAACUGGGGCUAAGUCAUAACAAGGUAGGCGUUCGGGAACGAGCGCCUGGAUCACCUCCUUUCUAAGG
Molecule: ribosomal RNA, 1496 nt
Filed under: Pseudomonadaceae bacterium
Lineage: Bacteria; Pseudomonadati; Pseudomonadota; Gammaproteobacteria; Pseudomonadales; Pseudomonadaceae
Description: bacterial SSU rRNA
Rfam family: Bacterial small subunit ribosomal RNA
Source: RNAcentral